Molecule: unclassified non-coding RNA, 327 nt
Filed under: soil metagenome
Description: partial contains 5.8S ribosomal RNA, internal transcribed spacer 2, and large subunit ribosomal RNA
Rfam family: 5.8S ribosomal RNA (bases 1-120)
Source: RNAcentral
GAUGAAGAACGUAUCGAAAUGCGAUAAGUAAUGUGAAUUGCAGAAUUCAGUGAAUCAUCGAAUCUUUGAACGCACAUUGCGCCCCUUGGUAUUCCGGGGGGCAUGCCUGUUCGAGCGUCAUUAUAACCCCUCAAGCUCAGCUUGGUGUUGGGGCCUGCCAACUGGCAGCCCUUAAAAUCAGUGGCGGCGCCAUCUGGCUCUAAGCGUAGUAAUUUCUCUCGCUAUAGGGUCCCGGUGGAUGCUGGCCAACAACCCCCAAUUUUCUAUGGUUGACCUCGGAUCAGGUAGGGAUACCCGCUGAACUUAAGCAUAUCAAUAAGCGGAGGA